Clarias gariepinus (North African catfish) is the source of this 581-nucleotide long non-coding RNA. RefSeq lists it as uncharacterized. The transcript has 3 exons. The record is from RefSeq and is a predicted model, not a curated record. NCBI's taxonomy places the organism in Eukaryota, Metazoa, Chordata, Actinopteri, Siluriformes, Clariidae.
CUGAAAGACAGUUUUAUGUUCAAUGCAGUACGUGGGUCAAAUUUUUUUCUUUUUCCUUUUUUGCAGACGAUUGGCAACACUCCUUAUUGGAUGCUCCUUACUGAGGUCGUCAACUUUUUCAGAUGGAUGUAUCGUACUGAGGAUGACAACAUUUACAAAUGGGUGUUCCUUGUUCUAUUCGUUUUUGUGGGCAUUAUUGUGGCUGCUGUUGUGGGUGGUACUGUGAAUGAUUUAUUAGGUAUUUGUGUGGGUGUUCUUGUAGGUUCUCUUGUAGGUUGUUUUAUUAUAAGAAGAGUAUUAUAAAGGUUUAAGUACUAAGAGUGUCUUAAAAAUUACAGAUGGAUAUUACUUGUUGUGGGUGACGGUUUUAGGCAGUGGUGUGAAGCUGUAGGAUUUGCUGUAAAUAAUGCUGCCAGUAUUUGUAUGGGUGUUCAUGUAGGUCUUGGUGUAGACGGUCUUGUGGUCAUCGGUAUGUUUGUUAUCUGGGUUAAAUUUAGAGAGAUAAGUCUUAAAUUCAUGGUUUAAUUCAUGUUUAAGUGCGUAGUGCGUGAUGUUUUAUCCUAGAUCUUCUGUCAUUUGUA